RNAcentral lists this ribosomal RNA (1498 nucleotides) under uncultured bacterium. RNAcentral's name for it is "16S ribosomal RNA". It matches the Rfam family "Bacterial small subunit ribosomal RNA". The record is from RNAcentral.
AGAGUUUGAUCAUGGCUCAGAUUGAACGCUGGCGGAAUGCUUUACACAUGCAANUCGAACGGCAGCACGGGAGCUUGCUCCUGGUGGCGAGUGGCGAACGGGUGAGUAAUGCGUCGGAACGUGCCGAGUAAUGGGGGAUAACGCAGCGAAAGUUGUGCUAAUACCGCAUACGCCCUGAGGGGGAAAGCGGGGGAUCGCAAGACCUCGCGUUAUUCGAGCGGCCGACGUCUGAUUAGCUAGUUGGUGGGGUAAAGGCCUACCAAGGCGACGAUCAGUAGCGGGUCUGAGAGGAUGAUCCGCCACACUGGGACUGAGACACGGCCCAGACUCCUACGGGAGGCAGCAGUGGGGAAUUUUGGACAAUGGGGGCAACCCUGAUCCAGCCAUUCCGCGUGAGUGAAGAAGGCCUUCGGGUUGUAAAGCUCUUUCAGCUGGAGUGAAACGGUGCGCUCUAACAUAGCGUGCUAAUGACGGUACCAGCAGAAGAAGCACCGGCUAACUACGUGCCAGCAGCCGCGGUAAUACAUAGGGUGCGAGCGUUAAUCGGAAUUACUGGGCGUAAAGCGUGCGCAGGCGGAUUGUUAAGCAAGAUGUGAAAUCCCCGGGCUUAACCUGGGAAUGGCAUUUUGAACUGGCAGUCUAGAGUGCGUCAGAGGGGGGUGGAAUUCCACGUGUAGCAGUGAAAUGCGUAGAGAUGUGGAGGAACACCGAUGGCGAAGGCAGCCCCCUGGGGAUGACACUGACGCUCAUGUACGAAAGCGUGGGUAGCAAACAGGAUUAGAUACCCCUGGUAGUCCACGCCCUAAACCGAUGUCAACUGGUUUGUUGGGGGAGUGAAAUCCCUUAGUAACGAAGCUAACGCGUGAAGUUGACCGCCGGGGAGUACGGUCGCAAGAUUAAAACUCAAAGGAAUUGACGGGGACCCGCACAAGCGGUGGAUGAUGUGGAUUAAUUCGAUGCAACGCGAAAAACCUUACCUACCCUUGACAUGUCCGGAAUCCUGCAGAGAUGCGGGAGUGCCCGAAAGGGAAUCGGAACACAGGUGCUGCAUGGCUGUCGUCAGCUCGUGUCGUGAGAUGUUGGGUUAAGUCCCGCAACGAGCGCAACCCUUAUCAUUAGUUGCUACGCAAGGGCACUCUAAUGAGACUGCCGGUGACAAACCGGAGGAAGGUGGGGAUGACGUCAAGUCCUCAUGGCCCUUAUGGGUAGGGCUACACACGUGUUACAAUGGCCAGUACAAAGGGCAGCUACCAGGCGGCUGGAUGCUAAUCUCUAAAGCUGGUCUCAGUUCGGAUCGAAGUCUGCAACCCGACUUCGUGAAGCUGGAUUCGCUAGUAAUCGCGCAUCAGCCAUGGCGCGGUGAAUACGUUCCCGGGCCUUGUACACACCGCCCGUCACACCAUGGAAGUGGGGUUUACCAGAAGUAGUUAGCUUAACCGCAAGGGGGGCGAUUACCACGGUAGGCUUCAUGANCUGGGGUGAAGUCGUAANCAAGGUA